This 801-nucleotide non-coding RNA is filed under the name Chilocorus rubidus. The record is from RNAcentral. Lineage: Eukaryota; Metazoa; Arthropoda; Insecta; Coleoptera; Coccinellidae.
GUUUCAUUUUUGGGUUGGGGAGGAAAUUAAUGAAUGUCUAUUGGAUCGAGUUUGGGCAUGAAAUUUAAUUGUGGUUUGAAAAUAGAGUUAAAUUUGAUUACAAAUAUGAAUUUUUUUUUUGAUGAUUUGAAUUAGUAGUGUAAAAUUUUAUAAAUUAAUGGAAGUUAGAAUUAGUUAAAAUUUUAGUAUUAACAAAAUUUGUGCCAGCAGUUGCGGUUAUACAGAUAAUGCAAUUUUAUUAUAUUAAUAAAAAUUAACAUAUUGAUUUUACAUAAAUUUGGAAUUUUUAAGUGAAAUUUUAAUUUUAAAUAAAGUAAUUUUUUGAUUUUGUGAAGUUUAGAAAUUUUAUAUAAAACUAGGAUUAGAUACCCUAUUAUAAAAAUGUAAAUUAUUAUAUUAAAUGAUUAUGAGUUAUAUUCUUUAAAGUUAAACAAUUUGGCGGUAUUUUAGACUUUUCAGAGGAACCUGUUUUUUAAUCGAUAAUCCACGAGAUAAUUAACUUUAGUUAGAAAUUUUUAUAUCGUUGUUUUUAAAUAUUUUAAAAGAAUAUGAAUAUUUAAAAAUUUUAAUUAGAAUUAAUUUCAGAUCAAGGUGAAGUUUAUACUAAAGAUUUAAUGGGUUACAAUAAAAUUAUUUUUAGUAAAUUUUUUGAAAAAGAAAUUUUAAAUUGGAUUUGAAAGUAAUUAAAUUUAGUUUAAUUUAAUGAUUUAGCUCUAAAAUAUGUACAUAUUGCCCGUCGCUUUCAUUAUUAAAGUGGAAUAAGUCGUAACAAAGUAGAUUUACUGGAAAGUGAAUCUUUAG